AAGGUAACACCUGCCCAGUGAAUAAUUCAACGGCCGCGGUAUCCUAACCGUGCAAAGGUAGCGUAAUCACUUGUCCUCUAAAUAGGGACCUGUAUGAACGGCUAAAUGAGGAUUAAUCUGUCUCCUUUGAUCUAUCAGUGAAACUGAUCUGCCAGUACAAAAGCUGACAUAAAAACAUAAGACGAGAAGACCCUGUGGAGCUUUAAAUUAUAUGACAAAACAACACAUGUCAAACAAUUUUAAGUUGGGGCGACUUCGGAACAAAACAAAACUUCCGAACAUACAGAAUAUUCUCACCAAGGCCAACAAGCCAAAACAAAACAUGACCCAGUAUUACUGAGUAAUGAACCAAGUUACCCCAGGGAUAACAGCGCCAUCUUCUUCAAGAGUUCAUAUCGACAGAARGGUUUACGACUCGAUGU
RNAcentral lists this ribosomal RNA (422 nucleotides) under Phymaturus somuncurensis. Its description in RNAcentral is "partial 16S ribosomal RNA". It matches the Rfam family "Bacterial large subunit ribosomal RNA", at positions 1849 to 2532 of the family's 2925-position model. The record is from RNAcentral. Lineage: Eukaryota; Metazoa; Chordata; Lepidosauria; Squamata.